AUGGCUAGAAUUUCUCCUAUCCUAGCUUUUCAACUCAUAAUUUCCUCCCUCUUCUCUUCCUUUGCCAUGAUCCCAGUCUCUGGGGAAAAUCGUGGGUUUGUAGGAAGCAUUGACCCUAAGCUUUUUGGACUGCAAGAAGAAAAGCUCACCCACAUUCAAUUAUAUUGGCAUGACCUUCUUAAUGGGCCUCACCCUUCUGCCAUAGAUGUGGUGCCUUCAUCCACCAAGUCACCAACAAAUUAUGGGUUAGUGAGAAUGUUUGAUAAUGCCCUAACCGAAGGACCUGAAUUGAGCUCAGAAUUGGUGGCAAGGGCUCAAGGGUUUUAUGCAUCUGCAGCACGAAAGGGGCUUAGCAAGUUGAUGGUUCAGAACUUUGCUUUUGUCAAAGGUCAGUUUAAUGGCAGCACCAUAAAUUUGAUAGGAAGAAAUUCAAUUUUGAACAAGGUAAGGGAGCUGCCUGUGGUUGGUGGAAGCGGAGUUUUCAGGCUUGCUAGGGGUUAUGCUUUAGCAACAACUCACACUGGUGAUGCAACGGUGGAGUACAAUAUCUAUGUGUUGCAUUACUGA
This 567-nucleotide long non-coding RNA is filed under the name Prunus dulcis (almond). Its description in RNAcentral is "sRNA ncRNA". Lineage: Eukaryota; Viridiplantae; Streptophyta; Magnoliopsida; Rosales; Rosaceae. The record is from RNAcentral.